RNA transcript from Apis cerana (Asiatic honeybee), 5898 nucleotides. It is a transcript of the gene named pre-piRNA 3'-exonuclease trimmer, with no coding region annotated. The record is from RefSeq and is a predicted model, not a curated record. NCBI's taxonomy places the organism in Eukaryota, Metazoa, Arthropoda, Insecta, Hymenoptera, Apidae.
AAAGGGAAUCAUGGGUAAAAUAUUGCUAAAUUUGUUAGUGUCCAUAUGAAGUGCAAGCAGUGAGAGUGCGUCGCAAUUAGUGAAAUUUUUUAAUUGAUUAGAAGCAAUGGAUCAAGACAAAAUCAUUCAUAUCAACGAUCAUCACAUCAGGGUACAAGUAUAAAAAAGAACGUGUCGAACAAGAGUGACUAUCAUCGACAUAUCGAAGGGAUACAACUGUAACGGAAGCUAUAUACCGAACAGAUGCAGCUAUAAAGAGAUAACAUUCUACAUGAAGUGGUUAUAUUCACAUUGUACAUUCAUACGUAUAUUACGGUACAUAUAAGAGGAAAGUUCCAGUGUAAAUAAAUAUAUAAAAUUUGAUAAUAUGAAUGAAGUUUUAAAAAAGAAUUUUAAAACUUUGUAUCCAAAGUUGGAAAUCGCUGUAAACAAUGCAACUUUUAUUGCCAUCGAUGCUGAAUUUACUGGUUUAUAUUCAGAAGAGAAAUUGAAACAUAGCUUUUUUGAUACAUUCAAUGAUCGUUAUAAAUUAUUAAAGAAAAAUAUUCAGCAAUUUAUGAUAAUACAAUUUGGCAUUGCAACUUUCCGUCAUGUUCCUUAUGAAAAUACCUAUGAAGUAGAUUGUUUUAAUUUUUAUUUGUUUCCAAAAUCUAUACCAUUAAAAAAUAGACACUUAAUAUGGCAAGUGGCAGCAUUAGAGUUCCUUUGUAAACAUAAUUUUGAAUUUAAUAAAUUUUUAAAUGAAGGUAUUUCAUUCUUGGAUGAGACAGAUGAAAAGUUAUUACAGAGUUAUAUAAAAGAAGAUAGUUUAGCAUAUAAUUUAAAUCAUUUAACAUAUGAAGAAGAAAAUGAGUUCAUAGACUAUAAAACUAAAAUUUCUGAAUGGAUUGCUAAUAAGAAUGAAGAAACAUUAAAGGUGGAAACUUCUAAUCCUAUAUUACAAUAUUUGAUACAUAAAGACAUAAGGCACAAUUAUAAAAGUACAUGGAGUAUAUCAGAUGAUAAAUCAGUAAAUAUCAUAAAAAUAUCACCUAACAUGCAUAAACUUUUAAGAAAAAAUGAUAAAGAAAGUUUGGAGAAAGAAUUAUUAGAUUAUUACAUAGGAUUUUCUAAAGUAUUUAAACUCUUGGCCUCUUCUAAAAAAAUAAUAGUAGGACAUAAUAUACUUUUAGAUUUAAUGUUUAUGCAUCAACAAUUUUAUAAACCACUGCCAAAUUCAUAUAAUGAAUUCAAAAACAAUAUACAUGAAUUAUUUCCACAAAUAUAUGAUACAAAAUUUUUAAGUUACGAAGUACGAAAAUUAUUUAGCAAGGAAGAAGUGAGUUGGAAAAUAAGUUCAUUGAGUACUUUAUACGAAUAUUUUACAACUAAAGGAAAAUUAUUAACCUUGAAUUCACCAAAGAUUGCAAUUAAUGAAGAAUCUUCAAAGUCAGAUAUUAUCCUAGAUGAAAAAAAGUAUCAUACAGCUGGAUGGGAUGCUUACUUUGCUGGAUAUAUAUAUAUAAAAAUGGCACACAUAUUUUGUGUAAAUAAAUUUGGAACAGGUUUGGAAGAAAGAAGAGUAACGCAUGCUGAACUAAUAAGCAGCAUAAAAAACUUUGUAAAUUGUAUAAAUAUAACAAGAGGCAAUGAAAUGUAUAUGAAAUUUGAUGGUCCAGAUCCAAUGUUAUCAAGACCAGAAUGGCUUCAUGUGAAGUUAAAAUCACCAUCUGUAGAUAUUAAACAGUUGAUGGAGAAAUUUUCAUCUUUUGGCCAAGUGGAUGUGAUGCCUUUUGCUCAAAGACGUGUUUUGGUAGCUGUAGCAAACCAUAAAAGGUUAGAACAAUUGUUAUUUACUUUUAUUUUUUUUUAUCGUUACAUAAAAUAAAAAUAUUUUACUGAAAAUAUAUACAAGACGAUUGGUUUGAAUUAAUCUAAAAAAUGAUAAAAUACUUCUAUCAUUCUUCAAGGAGCGACAAACUACCUUUCGAUGCAAUUGAAAGGCCACAAUAAUGUACGUAUUUAAAUACUUUUAGGCAAUCAGCUCAUUUAACAUGAAAUAAAUUUAAACUUCGUUGUCGUCCAGCAUAAAUAUCUUCAUGGCUGGCCGUCAAACUGACACAAGACAUGCUUGCAGAAACUCGUAUUUUACGUUUUGUACUUACAUCAUAAUUCAGGUUAUCAAAACAAUGAGGUGAGAUUAAAGGAAAAGUGCAAAUACGACCAAUCCAUGUAAACGUGUCGCGAUUUCUAUAAAUAUCAAAUGUAGAGAAAGGACAGGUGUUUCAGUAUGAAGCUGCUUCAAAGUAAGGUGCCGGAACAAUUUUGGAUCUUAUCCAAGGGCAACCGCGUAUACUCAUCAUUGCACUUACAAAGUGAUAUCGAUGCACGUGAUUUUAUAUGACGAUUUUGAAUGCAUAAGUCAAAUGUGAUUCGCUUCGAUGGAAAACCAACAGCGCGUUACACAUAUUGCGGCAUUUCAAUAGCAGCGAGGAAUUUCAGGUGGCACGGUAUAGUCGCAUAAGGCACGCGACACCCAUCACCAUCUGUUUGUGAAUUCGCGGAGGACCGUGAUCGAAAUUCGGUCUCGAGCCCCAAAUUCGAUCAUCGUGUUUCAGUUUGAACGAGGUCCGAAUCCGCGUUACGUCAAACAAAUUAAUGAUUCUUCCACGGUCCUCCUCGUGGCGGCAGACUCUCUAAUUAGCACUAAGAUUGCCGUAGACGCACAAGUGACGAUCGCGAUGCCAAUUGUUGCCACCUUAGCCAAUCCUAUAAAAUCGUCGGAUUCUUUGUUGCUCACCUUCGAUGCUUGUUAAGACGAUUUCGAAACGUGGAUUGCGUAAUUGAUCAUCGAUUGCAUACUAAAUGGUUUUCCAUUUAUUAAAAUUGCAACCUGAGCGGAGUCAUCUUGUCCGGAAGCUUAUUUGCCUGGAUGUUGAAAAAAUGUUUUUAAAAACCUACUUGAAUGAGAGCGAAAAACGAGGAGAAGAAAAUGAAAAAUGAGAGAGAAGCAAGAAAGUACGGUUCAACUUCCGUCCGACUAUUCAGCCCAGGAAGAAUAUCUCCGUCUUUGUCUUCCUUUCUUAUGCUCGUUCGCGAACACCGGCCGCAGAAUCUAUUUAAAUAUUAGAUUGAAAUCGCGAGUGGAAUCUUUGCGUGAGCUGUUAUUAUUAUUUCUCGUUCUGGUUUGUCGACGUUCCGGGCCAGAGCUCGUUUUCGUCAAGGAAUCUAUCCACCGUUGUGCCAAACCUGUGUGUUUGAGUUUUUCAAACUCGUGAAAAAUCCAAAUAAUUCUCUCCAACUAUCCAUCGAUCGACACGCAUCUUUUGCAUCUAUUAUAUCUUCUAUCUUAUAUUUUGUUUUAUUUAUUAUACCUAAGUAUAUAGUUUUGACUUUUAUCAAAGUACAUGUUUUACGUUACGUCUUCUACAAAUAAUUUUCCACGUAAUAAAAAUUCAUAAGAUUCUUAGAAGAUUGAAAAUUUAUAUUCAAAUAAUUAUGUACAAUAACGUAUUAAACAAAACAAGGAACAAGUAAUAGUACGUGACAGAUUGUAUCAUAAAUUUCUUAGCAGAAAUCUUGGCAGAAAUGUUAGAACAGUCGCGCUCAAAAACGAUUCAAAUAAUAUUUUUCAUUGUGAACAAUUGUUAAAAAUAUGAUAAACAUUGUAAAAUCUUCAAGAAAAUAUUCCUUUAUUAAUCAUGUCACCGUUGAUGGAUUCAAUAAAUAUAAAACGAUUUCAAAUUCCUAUUCCUAGGAGAAGAGGCAUGAUAUUCUUCUCGUCACGUUUUAGUUGCAGUUACUCGCGCGGAUCACUUUGUGCUACUUUGUACUUAUCACAGAAUCCUGAUGGCCGAGGAAGAGACCAAGUGCUUCUCGAUAUUUCAAAAGUUUUCUCUGGCCAGCACCCAAGGCUAAAACACUCGAAAUAACGCAGUAGCAAUUCGUGUAGGCGUACUGCGGGACGGUCAGCCUGGUCACACUGGUAUCCGGUGGCAGGUGGAGCAGCUCUCGAGGUGGAUCUCAUUCUGUGUCUCUCUGGAUCCGGAUUCAACGAUAAAUGUAAAGGUCGCGAGCGCCAGGAACGAGGUCUAUGGAACUAGGUUAACUAAAUUCACUAUUUUCUCUUCUUAUUGAACAUCGAUAUCACGAACCGUAUGAAGCCUAUAAUUUCUUUAGGAUUCUCUUGAAUAAUUAAUGAAUGAAUAAAAUUUCAAAAGAAAAAAAUUGGUUGGUAACGAGAACUACUUUAUUCCCCGUACAAAAAAACGAAAAAUGAAAAAUGAUAUCACGUGGCCACCCAAAAAUACUACGAGAGGUGACUCGAUCCAAUCGCCUUCACCUAUCGGUCCGGCCAGGACAAGAGGCGGCUUGGUCGGGUUGUACUGCCAGCAAAAAGAAGAGACGAUUGAAAAUACCCAUGUUCUCUGGUCUCUCACGUGUUUCGAAAUCCGUGCACCCGAGAAAUCGUAGUAUUCUACCGAGAAGCAACGGUGUGGGGCAGCCUGUGCGCGAUUUCGCUUUGGCAUCGGCCAAGCACCUGUCGCACGCAUCGCCACAGUGGAAAAUAGAAAAUCGUUUUCGAAAAAGGCACGCGCAUGCGCCGACGUAACGCGAUUACGUGGGUGCGCCGAGAUUAAUUGCUCGCGCCAAUUACCGAAAUAAUGGUAAACGGUCCCUUGCAACCAUGCAUAAUUAAAUCAGAAUUUCGAAACGAGAACAGAUUGUUAAAUAAGGUGAUGAAAAUUUAAUCGUUUCGUUCUUCGAUGUGAAUAAUGAAUAAUGUGGAUUCUUGUUACUUGUUUGGAGAAUGGAGAAUUACAGGAAAAUUGUUUUUUUUUUUAUUUAUUUCAAAUUUUAUAUACUAAACUUUAUAAAAUAUAAUAUAAUUCAAAUUAAUUUAGAUUAUAUGUAUUUUAGAUUACAAAAAUGAGGAAUAUAUAAAGUUAAUUAAGAAUAUGAACAUUUUUAUACGAAAGUGAGGUUAGAAAUAUGAAAAUUUUCUGUGAUGUCGGUAAUGUAAAAAUAAAUUUAAAAAGUGUCAAACUUUUUUCUCAUUAUGUCCAAGAUUUCAAUUAUCAAUCAGUAAUAUGAAAAUUAGAAGAAACAUGAUGAGAGAAAAUUGAAGAAAUAUGAGAGAAAAUUUUGUUUUUAAAGUAAUUGUGGCAAGAAAUGGAUAGCAGAUUGAAGAAUUACUUCUGAAGAGGUACUUCUGGAAGUACAAAAAUCGUCUUUCUCCGGAGGGACACCACCAGAGGUCCCAGCAGCUUUUCGUUCGAAAGCUCUCUAGUACUAUUUUUGUCCAUAAGCUGAAUAGCGGAAAUAGCCUAGCCUAGCCCCUGGCCUAGAGCGUAGGCUUGACCGGCCAUAAUAGCGUCUCUUUCAAGGAUAUAUAUCAUGACAUCACGAUUUCUUUCGAGACGUCAGUAUCUAUUAAGAUGACGUUUCUUCUUGAAUUAUCAAUUUAUACGUGUUAAUUAAAUAUAAAUAAUAUAAAAGUUUUCUUUCGAAAUAUGCAUGAAACAAUUUUCUAAUGUAUUUAUGUUUUAUCUUAGUUUUACAUCGUAUUAAUAUUUUUAAUUUUUGUUUUAUUAAAAAUAUAUAUUAUAUUAAAUAUUUUCAUGCAAGUUACAUAUCUUAGGAUAGCAGACGUUACGUCUUCUCUGAUCAUUGAAAGCACACAAAAAUAAUCCAACGUUUUACAAGAAGCACGGAAUUAUAAAUACUCCUGAGCACAUUCGUCUUGCUGAAAUGGGUUUUUGCUUCGUUCGAAUAGUCAAUGAACGUUCCUAUUUAAAAGGAUAUCUUAUAUCUAUUUAUUUUUUUUAAUGGAAUUUUUAUAAGAAUUACUAAUUCUUCUCUAACUUAUAUUGUAAUUUAUAUUUAAUAAAGAAAAUUUUUUGUUAUUUCAGAAUUAAA